Molecule: transfer RNA, 67 nt
Filed under: uncultured Prevotella sp.
Lineage: Bacteria; Pseudomonadati; Bacteroidota; Bacteroidia; Bacteroidales; Prevotellaceae
Rfam family: tRNA
About the family: Transfer RNA (tRNA) molecules are approximately 80 nucleotides in length. Their secondary structure includes four short double-helical elements and three loops (D, anti-codon, and T loops). Further hydrogen bonds mediate the characteristic L-shaped molecular structure. tRNAs have two regions of fundamental functional importance: the anti-codon, which is responsible for specific mRNA codon recognition, and the 3' end, to which the tRNAs corresponding amino acid is attached (by aminoacyl-tRNA synthetases). tRNAs cope with the degeneracy of the genetic code in two manners: having more than one tRNA (with a specific anti-codon) for a particular amino acid; and 'wobble' base-pairing, i.e. permitting non-standard base-pairing at the 3rd anti-codon position.
Source: RNAcentral
GGUAAUAGCUCAGUUGGUAGAGCACUAGCUUCCCAAGCUGGGGGUCGCGGGUUCGAACCCCGUUUAC